Long non-coding RNA from Notolabrus celidotus (New Zealand spotty), 298 nucleotides. RefSeq lists it as uncharacterized. NCBI's taxonomy places the organism in Eukaryota, Metazoa, Chordata, Actinopteri, Labriformes, Labridae. The transcript has 2 exons. The record is from RefSeq and is a predicted model, not a curated record.
UUUUUGUUUUCCCCGCCCUCUCCUGCUCUGUCUCCUUCACUCUCUGCUCACCUGCACUGGAUCUGCAAUCAACACUCCUGCAAGCUAUCAUCCAAUCACCACUGCCUGCAAGAACCCUGCACUGGCAUCCAGUUCCUGCUGGAUCGUUGUGCCUCCACGGACCUAUUUGCAUCCAGCUCUGCCACCUUCCUCACUCACCUGCCUAUUCACCACCGUCUGGAUCCCUCCCACAUCAACCCAAGACCCCCACCAGCUAUCCCUUCACCCUGCACUUCUGUAAUAAAACUUUGGGAAACAA